Schistocerca americana (American grasshopper) is the source of this 1035-nucleotide long non-coding RNA. RefSeq lists it as uncharacterized. NCBI's taxonomy places the organism in Eukaryota, Metazoa, Arthropoda, Insecta, Orthoptera, Acrididae. The record is from RefSeq and is a predicted model, not a curated record. The transcript is spliced from 3 exons.
UGGACAGCCAAGCUGGUGCUGGUGGCGGCUCUCGUGGCGGCGGCCUCUGCCCAAUUCGGGGGGACGGACCCGGGCGGUCUGCUCAACGACCCGGCUGCGCUCACCGAGAUCAUACAGUGCCUGCUGGCCAACUCGGACUCAGGUUGCUCGCUACAGGGACGUCUGCUCAAGAGCGUGCUGCCGCAGCUGCUGCAGUCCAACUGCGGCCAGUGCAGCGAGGCGCAGCGCCAGGACGUGGCCAACGUGCUGCGCCACCUGGUCAACGACAGGCCGGAGGAGUGGCAGCGGCUCGCCGCCAAGUACGACCCGGCGGGCACCCUGCGCACGCAGCACGGGGACGAGUGGCGCGCGCGCGGCGUCAACAUGUAGCCGCGACCCUAGCACGUUGAGGUUUCAUAGAAAAGCACCAUAGAAAUCACCAAUGAACUUACGGUCAACGCUCACAACACUAGAGUUUACCAAGUUGAAUCACACCAGCACCUCCGAAGCAUCUGACGUAAAGGAACGUUACUUCCUUCAAAGAAUGUAUGCUGCUGCCACUAUCUGGUACUCACCAAAUUGCACCUUCGCGUCAGGUACCUGAUGUAGCGACUGACAUGAAACUAGUGACAAUUACAUUAAAAUACGUCUAUGGACGCCAAAGAAAUCUGUUGUUACGUUUUUUGUUUGCACGCCAAGCACUGACGAAUGUUUUUACUGAAAUGCUGUACAACGACUGUAUUAUCUACGAAAUAAAUCUCGGGAUAAACUUCUGAUUCAAAUGGUGGCAACACAACGACUGUAAUUUCGUAGUUUCCGGCGAUAGAAGUGAAUCUUUGUGUACGAAAACAUCCAGCAACCCGAAACUGCAUAUACAGUUCUACUGCCACCUUCACUUCUACGACCAGCGAUUGAGUUCAGAAAGAUAUACUAACAGUUUGUCGACAUUGAAGUCUCACAUACCUUAAGGUAACAAAUGUUAUACCUGACACGAAAUUAACCUCAUUUCUAAUGCUAAUACUGUGAAUUGUGAAUAAAGGAAUAUUUCUCAAACUA